CAGAUUUCUAUAUCCAACAAAACCUAGUUUCAAAUUUGAGGGGAAAAUAAAAACUUUCCAUGAAAAGAAUAAAUGAAUUCAUGAGAAUCAAGCCAGCAUUACAAAGAAUACUCAAAGAUAAACCACACAAGAGGAACUAAAAAAUAAUUCCCAGAACUCACAGAGGAAGUUCAAUAGAAGAAUAAUCUAUUAAGUAAGAAUCAAGACAGGGUAAAAUAUAGCAAAAUGUCAGAAAACCAUAAAUAGUUAUCCUUACUCACACUAAAUGUUAAUGAUCUCAACUCCCCAGUUAAAAAGUACAGAUUAGUCAAAUGGAUCAAAAACCAAGAAUCAAUUAUAUACUGUUUACAAAAGACUCAUCUUAUAGGCAAAGACAUCCACAGUCUGAAGGUAAAAGGAUGGCAAAAAUAUUCCAGAAAUAUGGUCCAAGAAAAUAAGCAGGAAUAGCUAUUCUCAUAUCUGACAAAGUAGAUUUUAAGCAAAUAUUAAUCAGAACGACAAAGAAGGUCACUACAUCUUGUUAAGGGAAUGAUCCACUAAGAAGAUAUAAUGAUAGUAAAUAUUUAUGCCCCAAAUGUCAAUGUGCCCAAUUACAUGGAAAAAGGACUCCAUGACAUUAAAUCCUGCAUAGACCUCAAUACAAUAAUACUGGGUAAUUUCAAUACACUCUUAUCACCAAUAGACAGCCCAUCAAAACAUAAAAUCAAUAAAGAUAUGUCUAAUCUAAAUAACACUAUAUAAAUCAUGUGCCGCAUUUUUUUAAUCCAUUCAUUCGUGGAAGGACAUCUAGGUUGGCUCCACAGUCUAGCUAUUGUGAAUUGUGCUGCUAUAAACAUUGAUGUGGCUGUGUCCCUGUAGUAUGCUGUUUUUAAGUCUUUGGGUAUAGUCCAAGAAGAGGAAUAGCUGGGUCAAAUGGUGGUUCCAUUCCCAGCUUUCCAAGGAAUCUCAUACUGCUUUCCAAAUUGGCUGCACCAAUUUGCAGUCCCACCAGCAAUGUAUGAGUGUACCUUUUUCCCUGCAUCCUCGCCAGCACUUGUUGUUUGUCUUCAUCAUGGCUGCCAUUCUGACUGGAGUGAGAUGGUAUCUUAGACUAGUUUUAAUUUGCAUUUCUCUGAUUGCUAGAAAUGAUGAGCAUUUUUUCAUAUAUUUGUUGAUUGAUUGUAUAUCUUCUGAGAAGUGUCUGAUCAGGUCCUUGGCCCAUUUGUUGAUUGGGUUAUUUGUUUUUUUGGUGUUUAGCUUUUUGAGUUCUUUGUGUACUCUAGAGAUUAGAGCUCUAUCUGAUGUGUGAGGGGUAAAAAUUUGUUCCCAGGAUGUAGGCUUCCUAUUCACCUCACAUAUUAUUUCUCUUGCUGAGAAAAAACUUUUUAGUUUGAAUUCAUCCCAUUUGUUGAUUCUUGGUUUUAAUUCUUGUGCUAUAGGUGUCUUAUUAAGGAAAUUGGGGCCUAGCCCCACAUGAUGGAGAUUAGGGCCUACUUUUUCUUCUAUUAGAUGCAGAGUCUCUGGUUUAAUUCCUAGAUCCUUGAUCCAUUCUGAGUUAACUUUUGUGCAUGGUGAGAGAUAGGGAUUCAAUUUCAUUUUGUUGCCUAUAUACACAAUGGAAUAUUACUUAGCAC
Molecule: long non-coding RNA, 1613 nt
Filed under: Marmota monax (woodchuck)
Lineage: Eukaryota; Metazoa; Chordata; Mammalia; Rodentia; Sciuridae
Source: RNAcentral